Molecule: non-coding RNA, 140 nt
Organism: Gossypium hirsutum (cotton)
Lineage: Eukaryota; Viridiplantae; Streptophyta; Magnoliopsida; Malvales; Malvaceae
Source: Rfam
UGUUAAAAAUUUCAUCCAUUUGUACUGUUAAAAACUGCCAUGGCUGACGGAAUAACCAGACAGUGACAUAUGGUGUGCCACGUGUACCUCACACUAAUGUACAUCAGUUUUUAACAGUAGAAUGGAUGAAAUUUUUAACA